GACGAACGCUGGCGGCGUGCUUAACACAUGCAAGUCGAACGGAAAGGCCCUGCUUUUGUGGGGUGCUCGAGUGGCGAACGGGUGAGUAACACGUGAGUAACCUGCCCUUGACUUUGGGAUAACUUCAGGAAACUGGGGCUAAUACCGUAUAGGAGCUCCUGCUGCAUGGUGGGGGUUGGAAAUUUUCGGCGGUUGGGGAUGGACUCGCGGCUUAUCAGCUUGUUGGUGGGGUAGUUGCUUACCAAGGCUUUGACGGGUAGCCGGCCUGAGAGGGUGACCGGCCACAUUGGUACUACGAUACGGCCCAGACUCCUACGGGGGGCAGCGGUGGGGAGUCUUGCACAAUGGGCGGACGCCUGAUGAGGAAACGCCGCGUGCGGGAUGACGGCCUUCGGGUUGUAAACCGCUUUCGCCUGUGACGAAGCGUGAGUGACGGUAAUGGGUAAAGAAGCACCGGCUAACUACGUG
Molecule: ribosomal RNA, 468 nt
Filed under: uncultured bacterium
Lineage: Bacteria
Description: partial 16S ribosomal RNA
Rfam family: Bacterial small subunit ribosomal RNA
Source: RNAcentral